GCAUCGGUGAAGAACGCAGCGAAACGCGAUAGGUAAUGUGAAUUGCAGAAUUCCGUGAAUCAUCGAAUCUUUGAACGCACCUUGCGCUCCAUGGCAUUCCGUGGAGCAUGCCUGUUUGAGUGCCGCGAAAUCUCCCACCCCUAGCGGUUGCCGCAAGGCGCCGCCGGGCGGCGGGGUUGGUUGGGUGCCGCUGCCUGGGCUUUGGCCCAGGCUCGCCCGAAAUGCAUGAGCGCUUAGCACUCGCACCGUCUCGAGGGAAGGCGGCGGAGCUGGCAUCUGCGCAUGGCAUGAUACGUCAUUUGCUGUGUGGCAGCCCAGCGACCCGAGAGUGUGUGUGCGCUACUACACGCCCUUUCAUUUCUGGUCUCAAAUCAGGUAGGAUCACCCGCUGAACUUAAGCAUAUCAAUAAGCGGAGGA
This 418-nucleotide ribosomal RNA is filed under the name uncultured fungus. RNAcentral describes it as "eukaryotic LSU rRNA". The stretch from base 1 to 125 matches the Rfam family "5.8S ribosomal RNA", at positions 30 to 154 of the family's 154-position model. The record is from RNAcentral. Lineage: Eukaryota; Fungi.